This 73-nucleotide transfer RNA is filed under the name Callyspongia plicifera (azure vase sponge). Its description in RNAcentral is "tRNA-Arg". It matches the Rfam family "tRNA". From Rfam's summary of the family: Transfer RNA (tRNA) molecules are approximately 80 nucleotides in length. Lineage: Eukaryota; Metazoa; Porifera; Demospongiae; Haplosclerida; Callyspongiidae. The record is from RNAcentral.
AUCUUCGUAGCUCAAUAGGUAGAGCAAUUACCUUCUAAGUAAGNGGUUGUCGGUUCGAGUCCUACGGGAGAUG